Molecule: small RNA, 156 nt
Organism: Aspergillus glaucus CBS 516.65
Lineage: Eukaryota; Fungi; Ascomycota; Eurotiomycetes; Eurotiales; Aspergillaceae
Rfam family: A. fumigatus sRNA Afu_254
Source: Rfam
CUCUCAAUCUACUACAAGCCUUUCAAAUCUUUUCAAGACUUUUCAGUCAAACCACUACCAACUUUUACAAUGUCUCCCUGCUCGUGCAACUGCUGCUCCGGCAACUGCAACUCUUGCUCUUGCGGCUCGUGCAAGGUAUGCCUUCUCUUCUCUAUC